UACGAAGGGUGCAAGCGUUACUCGGAAUUACUGGGCGUAAAGCGUGCGUAGGUGGUUCGUUAAGUCUGAUGUGAAAGCCCUGGGCUCAACCUGGGAACUGCAUUGGAUACUGGCGAUCUGGAGUGCGGUAGAGGGUGGCGGAAUUCCCGGUGUAGCAGUGAAAUGCGCAGAUAUCGGGAAGAACACCCGUGGCGAAGGCGGCUCUCUGGAACGCAACUGACGCUGAGACGCGAAAGCGUGGGGAGCAAACAGG
RNAcentral lists this ribosomal RNA (253 nucleotides) under uncultured bacterium. Its description in RNAcentral is "partial 16S ribosomal RNA". It matches the Rfam family "Bacterial small subunit ribosomal RNA", at positions 524 to 776 of the family's 1533-position model. The record is from RNAcentral.